This 485-nucleotide ribosomal RNA is filed under the name uncultured bacterium. RNAcentral describes it as "partial 16S ribosomal RNA". It matches the Rfam family "Bacterial small subunit ribosomal RNA", at positions 28 to 523 of the family's 1533-position model. The record is from RNAcentral.
GACGAACGCUGGCGGCGUGCUUAACACAUGCAAGUCGAACGGUGAAAGCGGAGCUUGCUCCGCUGGAUCAGUGGCGAACGGGUGAGUAACACGUGGGCAACCUGCCCCUCACUUCGGGAUAACUCCGGAAAACCGGGGCUAAUACCGGAUACGACCUCCUUGGGCAUCCUGGGAGGUGGAAAGUUUUUCGGUGAGGGAUGGGCCCGCGGCCUAUCAGCUUGUUGGUGAGGUAGUGGCUCACCAAGGCGACGACGGGUAGCCGGCCUGAGAGGGCGACCGGCCACACUGGGACUGAGGCACGGCCCAGACUCCUACGGGAGGCAGCAGUGGGGAAUAUUGCGCAAUGGGCGAAAGCCUGACGCAGCAACGCCGCGUGCGGGAUGAAGGCCUUCGGGUUGUAAACCGCUUUCAGCAGGGAAGAAGCCGCAAGGUGACGGUACCUGCAGAAGAAGCACCGGCUAACUACGUGCCAGCCGCCGCGGUAA